RNAcentral lists this ribosomal RNA (1227 nucleotides) under Ascomycota sp. L322. RNAcentral's name for it is "eukaryotic LSU rRNA". Lineage: Eukaryota; Fungi; Ascomycota. The record is from RNAcentral.
AGAAAAUUAACCAGGUUCSCUGGUGACAGCGGAGGGAUCAUUACCGAGUUUACAACUCCCAAACCCAAUGUGAACGUUACCAAACUGAUUGCCUCGGCGGGAUCUCCUGCCCCGGGUGCGUCGCAGCCCCGGACCAAGGCGCCCGCCGGAGGACCAACCUAAAACUCUUAUUGUAUUACCCCCUCGCGGGUUUUUUUUAUAAUUCUGAGCCUUCUCGGCGCCUCUCGUAGGCGUUUUCGAAAAUGAAUCAAAACUUUCAACAACGGAUCUCUUGGUUCUGGCAUCGAUGAAGAACGCAGCGAAAUGCGAUAAGUAAUGUGAAUUGCAGAAUUCAGUGAAUCAUCGAAUCUUUGAACGCACAUUGCGCCCGCCAGUAUUCUGGCGGGCAUGCCUGUCCGAGCGUCAUUUCAACCCUCGAACCCCUCCGGGGGGUCGGCGUUGGGGAUCGGCCCUCCCUUAGCGGGUGGCCGUCUCCGAAAUACAGUGGCGGUCUCGCCGCAGCCUCUCCUGCGCAGUAGUUUGCACACUCGCAUCGGGAGCGCGGCGCGUCCACAGCCGUUAAACACCCAACUUCUGAAAUGUUGACCUCGGAUCAGGUAGGAAUACCCGCUGAACUUAAGCAUAUCAAUAAGCGGAGGAAAAGAAACCAACAGGGAUUGCCCCAGUAACGGCGAGUGAAGCGGCAACAGCUCAAAUUUGAAAUCUGGCCCCUAGGGUCCGAGUUGUAAUUUGUAGAGGAUGCUUUUGGUGAGGUGCCGCCCGAGUUCCCUGGAACGGGACGCCACAGAGGGUGAGAGCCCCGUCUGGCUGGCCGCCGAGCCUCUGUAAAGCUCCUUCGACGAGUCGAGUAGUUUGGGAAAUGCUGCUCAAAAUGGGAGGUAUAUGUCUUCUAAAGCUAAAUAUUGGCCAGAGACCGAUAGCGCACAAGUAGAGUGAUCGAAAGAUGAAAAGCACCUUGAAAAAGAGGGUUAAAAUAGUACGUGAAAUUGUUGAAAGGGAAGCGCUUGUGAACCAGACUUGGGCGCGGCGGAUCAUCCGGGGUUCUCUCCGGUGCACUUCGCCGCGUCUAGGCCAGCAUCAGUUCGUCGCGGGGGAAAAAGGCUUUCGGGAACGUGGCUCCCUCGGGGAGUGUUAUAGCCCGUUGCAUAAUACCCUGCGGUGGACUGAGGACCGCGCAUCGCAGAUGCGCAUGGGUAAGGUCCCAACCCUUUUUAAAACGGAAACAAA